GUUUGAUCAUGGCUCAGGAUGAACGCUGGCGGCGUGCCUAACACAUGCAAGUCGAACGAAGCAUCUUACCGGAUUCUUCGGAUGAAAGUUUGGUGACUGAGUGGCGGACGGGUGAGUAACGCGUGGGUAACCUGCCCUGUACAGGGGGAUAGCAGCUGGAAACGGCUGCUAAUACCGCAUAAGCGCACGAGGAGACAUCUCCUAGUGUGAAAAACUCCGGUGGUACAGGAUGGGCCCGCGUCUGAUUAGCUGGUUGGCAGGGUAACGGCCUACCAAGGCAACGAUCAGUAGCCGGUCUGAGAGGAUGAACGGCCACAUUGGAACUGAGACACGGUCCAAACUCCUACGGGAGGCAGCAGUGGGGAAUAUUGCACAAUGGGGGAAACCCUGAUGCAGCAACGCCGCGUGAGUGAAGAAGUAUUUCGGUAUGUAAAGCUCUAUCAGCAGGGAAGAUAAUGACGGUACCUGACUAAGAAGCUCCGGCUAAAUACGUGCCAGCAGCCGCGGUAAUACGUAUGGAGCAAGCGUUAUCCGGAUUUACUGGGUGUAAAGGGUGCGUAGGUGGCAGUGCAAGUCAGAUGUGAAAGGCCGGGGCUCAACCCCGGAGCUGCAUUUGAAACUGCUCGGCUAGA
Molecule: ribosomal RNA, 632 nt
Filed under: uncultured bacterium
Lineage: Bacteria
Description: bacterial SSU rRNA
Rfam family: Bacterial small subunit ribosomal RNA
Source: RNAcentral